This 497-nucleotide ribosomal RNA is filed under the name uncultured bacterium. RNAcentral describes it as "partial 16S ribosomal RNA". It matches the Rfam family "Bacterial small subunit ribosomal RNA", at positions 28 to 507 of the family's 1533-position model. The record is from RNAcentral.
GACGAACGCUGGCGGCGUGCCUAAUACAUGCAAGUAGAACGCUGAAGAGAGGAGCUUGCUCUUCUUGGAUGAGUUGCGAACGGGGGAGUAACGCGUAGGUAACCUGCCUUGUAGCGGGGGAUAACUAUUGGAAACGAUAGCUAAUACCGCAUAACAAUGGAUGACACAUGUCAUUUAUUGGAAAGGGGCAAUUGCUCCACUACAAGAUGGACCUGCGUUGUAUUAGCUAGUAGGUGAGGUAAUGGCUCACCUAGGCGACGAUACAUAGCCGACCUGAGAGGGUGAUCGGCCACACUGGGACUGAGACACGGCCCAGACUCCUACGGGAGGCAGCAGUAGGGAAUCUUCGGCAAUGGGGGCAACCCUGACCGAGCAACGCCGCGUGAGUGAAGAAGGUUUUCGGAUCGUAAAGCUCUGUUGUAAGUCAAGAACGGGUGUGAGAGUGGAAAGUUCACACUGUGACGGUAGCUUACCAGAAAGAGACGGCUAACUACGUG